AAUAAACGAAUUCAUGUGUUUUUGGAUAGAAUUUUUGACUCUUUGUCUUAUUUAAAAUUUUUUAUGAUUAAUAUUUUAUUGUUACUACAUGAUAAAGCAUGAAUGGUACUUUACGUGCGACUAUUUUUUUUAACUUUUUAAUAAAUUUUUCAAAUAAGACGGAUGGUCAAACGCUCGAUCUACAAAACCCAGGAAUGCUCUUUUU
This is a non-coding RNA of Oryza brachyantha (malo sina), 205 nucleotides long. The record is from Rfam. NCBI's taxonomy places the organism in Eukaryota, Viridiplantae, Streptophyta, Magnoliopsida, Poales, Poaceae.